CCUACGGGCGGCUGCAGUCGAGAAUAUUCCACAAUGGACGCAAGUCUGAUGGAGCGACGCCGCGUGCAGGAUGACGGCCUUCGGGUUGUAAACUGCGGUAGCUAGGGAAGAACUUUUGUGACGGUACCUAGCGGAAAGAGGCGGGUAACUACGUGCCAGCACCAGCGGUAAUACGUAGGCCUCGAGCGUUAUCCGGAUUUAUUGGGCGUAAAGAGCAUGUAGGAGGCUUCGCGCGUCCUUGGUUAAAGACCACUGCCUAACGGUGGGACUGCCGA
This 275-nucleotide ribosomal RNA is filed under the name uncultured bacterium. RNAcentral describes it as "partial 16S ribosomal RNA". It matches the Rfam family "Bacterial small subunit ribosomal RNA", at positions 338 to 627 of the family's 1533-position model. The record is from RNAcentral.